AUCCAGCUGACGAGUCCCAAACAAGAAGAAAAACGCGUCUUGGAU
This 45-nucleotide non-coding RNA is filed under the name Schistosoma curassoni. Lineage: Eukaryota; Metazoa; Platyhelminthes; Trematoda; Strigeidida; Schistosomatidae. The record is from RNAcentral.